ACGUAGGGUGCGAGCGUUAAUCGGAAUUACUGGGCGUAAAGCGUGCGCAGGCGGUUCGCUAAGACAGAUGUGAAAUCCCCGGGCUCAACCUGGGAACUGCCUUUGUGACUGCAAGGCUAGAAUGCGUCAGAGGGAGGUGGAAUUCCACGUGUAGCAGUGAAAUGCGUAGAGAUGCGGAGGAACAUCGAUGGCGAAGGCAGCCUCCUGGGACGACACUGACGCUCAUGCACGAAAGCGUGGGGAGCAAACAG
Molecule: ribosomal RNA, 251 nt
Filed under: uncultured prokaryote
Description: partial 16S ribosomal RNA
Rfam family: Bacterial small subunit ribosomal RNA
Source: RNAcentral